GACGAACGCUGGCGGCGUGCUUCAUACAUGCAAGUCGAACGAGAAGCUGACUUCGGUCAGUGGACAGUGGCGGACGGGUGAGUAAUAUGUAGGAAAUCUGCCUUUAGGAGGGGGACAACAGAGGGAAACUUCUGCUAAUACCCCAUAUGAGCGUAGCUGAAAUGCUAUUCUUGAAAACUCCGGUGCCUAAAGAUGAGCCUGCAUCUGAUUAGCUAGUUGGUAGUGUAAUGGACUACCAAGGCGACGAUCAGUAGCUGGUUUGAGAGGAUGAUCAGCCACAAGGGAACUGAGACACGGGCCAGACGCCUACGGGAGGCAGCAGUGAGGAAGAUUGGUCAAUGGGCGUAAGCCUGAACCAGCCAAGUAGCGUGCAGGAUGACGGCCCUAUGGGUUGUAAACUGCUUGUAUGCGGGGAGAAAGUGGCCCACGUGUGGGUUUUUGCAGGUACCGCAUGAAUAAGGACCGGCUAAUUCCGUG
RNAcentral lists this ribosomal RNA (477 nucleotides) under uncultured bacterium. Its description in RNAcentral is "partial 16S ribosomal RNA". It matches the Rfam family "Bacterial small subunit ribosomal RNA", at positions 28 to 507 of the family's 1533-position model. The record is from RNAcentral.